RNAcentral lists this transfer RNA (76 nucleotides) under Bacillus anthracis (anthrax bacterium). RNAcentral's name for it is "tRNA-Thr". It matches the Rfam family "tRNA". Rfam says of the family: Transfer RNA (tRNA) molecules are approximately 80 nucleotides in length. Their secondary structure includes four short double-helical elements and three loops (D, anti-codon, and T loops). The record is from RNAcentral. Lineage: Bacteria; Bacillati; Bacillota; Bacilli; Caryophanales; Bacillaceae.
GCCGGCUUAGCUCAAUUGGUAGAGCAACUGACUUGUAAUCAGAGGGUCGAAGGUUCAAGUCCUCUAGCCGGCAUCA